GGAACACAAGAGCAUGCCAAAGAGAUCAGGGGAGACUUGAAGUCCACUUACUGCCUGCUUUUGCUCUUCCUCCUAGAGGUGUUGAAGAUGAAAAAAAGGCAGAGGAGAGAAAUUAAUGUCCAUUACCACACAUGCUGGGAAGAAAUGGUGGAAGGAAUCAGGUAAAGAUGAAUCUCUUGGCUAGGUGAAUCUCUUCACAGGUGUGUCUUGAGAGUGUUUCCAGAAGAGAUCAGCUUUGGAAUCAGUAGACUAAAGAAGAACUGCUUUCACCAAAAUGGGCAGACAUCCAGCCCAUUGAGGAUCUGAAUAGAUUAAAAAAAACAAGUAUGCUCUCUUCUGGUGAGGGAACAUUGAUCUCUUCCUGCACUUGGACAGAGGAAAUGUCCUGGUUUUUUGUGUCAACAGCUGAAUGUCCAUGCCCCUGACUCACUCUGUGCAGUGGGAGUGUCACACAGACGCAUGUUGGACUGUACCACUGGUUCUCCUGGGUCUCCAGCUAGCCCAUUCCAGGACUUCUCUGCCUCUAUAAUCCCCAUAAAAGGUCCUUUAAUAUAAUUCUACAUAUCCUCUAUUGAUUCUGUUUCUCUGAAAACACGCCAAGUUUACCUCUGUUGUACUUAUUAAAGUAGGACGCUUGAUGUUUGUUAAAUUUUUGGUGCAAUACCUAAAAAUUUAUCUUAAAAGAACCUAAGUAGUUGAGAAAU
Long non-coding RNA from Dipodomys spectabilis (banner-tailed kangaroo rat), 704 nucleotides. RefSeq lists it as uncharacterized. The transcript is spliced from 3 exons. Lineage: Eukaryota; Metazoa; Chordata; Mammalia; Rodentia; Heteromyidae. The record is from RefSeq and is a predicted model, not a curated record.